GAAUUUAUUAGAUUGGUGCAAAAGUGAUUGCAGGUUUUGCUAUUAAUUUUAAUAGCAAAUAUUGCAAUCACUUUUGCACCAACCUAAUAA
This is a microRNA precursor of Chlorocebus sabaeus (green monkey), 90 nucleotides long. Lineage: Eukaryota; Metazoa; Chordata; Mammalia; Primates; Cercopithecidae. The record is from Ensembl.